GGGUUGUAAACCACUGUCAGGGGGAAGGAAUAAGCGUGUAACCCACGCGAUGACUUAUACCCCAGAGGAAGUGACGGCUAACUACGUGCCAGCAGCUGCGGUAAUACGUAGGUCACGAACGUUAUUCGGAAUCACUGGGCUUAAAGGGCGCGUAGGCGGCUUCGUAAGUCAAGGUUGAAAUCCGGCGGCUCACCCGUCGAACUGGCCUUGAUACUGCGGAGCUUGAGGUGCGGAGGGAUGCGUGGAACUUGUGGUGGAGCGGUGAAAUGCCCAGAUAUCACAGGGAACACCGGUGGCGAAGGCGACGCAUUGGCCGCAAUCUGACGCUGAGGCGCGAAAGCAUGGGGAGCGAACGGGAUUAGAUACCCCGGUAGUCCAUGCCGUAAACGAUGUGCACUAGGGAGAGGAUGGGUCCUAACUCAUUCCCUCCCCAAGCAAAAGCGUUAAGUGCACCGCCUGGGGAGUAUGCUCGCAAGGGUAAAACUC
This 486-nucleotide ribosomal RNA is filed under the name uncultured bacterium. Its description in RNAcentral is "bacterial SSU rRNA". It matches the Rfam family "Bacterial small subunit ribosomal RNA", at positions 420 to 902 of the family's 1533-position model. The record is from RNAcentral.